GGGUUGUGAGGUUAAGCGACUAAGCGUACACGGUGGAUGCCCUGGCAGUCAGAGGCGAUGAAGGACGUGCUAAUCUGCGAAAAGCGUCGGUAAGGUGAUAUGAACCGUUAUAACCGGCGAUGUCCGAAUGGGGAAACCCAGUGUGAUUCGUCACACUAUCGUUAACUGAAUACAUAGGUUAACGAGGCGAACCGGGGGAACUGAAACAUCUAAGUACCCCGAGGAAAAGAAAUCAACCGAGAUUCCCCCAGUAGCGGCGAGCGAACGGGGAGCAGCCCAGAGUCUGAAUCAGCUUGUGUGUUAGUGGAACGGUCUGGAAAGUCCGACGGUACAGGGUGAUAGUCCCGUACACCAAAAUGCACAGGCUGUGAACUCGAAGAGUAGGGCGGGACACGUGGUAUCCUGUCUGAAUAUGGGGGGACCAUCCUCCAAGGCUAAAUACUCCUGACUGACCGAUAGUGAACCAGUACCGUGAGGGAAAGGCGAAAAGAACCCCGGCGAGGGGAGUGAAAAAGAACCUGAAACCGUGUACGUACAAGCAGUGGGAGCACCUUCGGGUGUGACUGCGUACCUUUUGUAUAAUGGGUCAGCGACUUAUAUUCUGUAGCAAGGUUAACCGUAUAGGGAGCCGCAGGAAACCGAGUCUUAACUGGGCGUUAAGUUGCAGGGUAUAGACCCGAAACCCGGUGAUCAGCCAUGGGCAGGUUGAAGGUUGGGUAACACUAACUGGAGGACCGAACCGACUAAUGUUGAAAAAUUAGCGGAUGACUUGUGGCUGGGGGUGAAAGGCCAAUCAAACCGGGAGAUAGCUGGUUCUCCCCGAAAGCUAUUUAGGUAGCGCCUCGUGAACUCAUCUUCGGGGGUAGAGCACUGUUUCGGCUAGGGGGUCAUCCCGACUUACCAACCCGAUGCAAACUACGAAUACCGAAGAAUGUUAUCACGGGAGACACACGGCGGGUGCUAACGUCCGUCGUGAAGAGGGAAACAACCCAGACCGCCAGCUAAGGUCCCAAAGUCAUGGUUAAGUGGGAAACGAUGUGGGAAGGCACAGACAGCCGGAUGUUGGCUUAGAAGCAGCCAUCAUUUAAAGAAAGCGUAAUAGCUCACUGGUCGAGUCGGCCUGCGCGGAAGAUGUAACGGGCUAAACCAUGCACCGAAGCUGCGGCAGCGACACUAUGUGUUGUUGGGUAGGGGAGCGUUCUGUAAGCCUGCGAAGGUGACCUGUGAGGGUUGCUGGAGGUAUCAGAAGUGCGAAUGCUGACAUAAGUAACGAUAAAGCGGGUGAAAAGCCCGCUCGCCGGAAGACCAAGGGUUCCUGUCCAACGUUAAUCGGGGCAGGGUGAGUCGACCCCUAAGGCGAGGCCGAAAGGCGUAGUCGAUGGGAAACAGGUUAAUAUUCCUGUACUUGGUGUUACUGCGAAGGGGGGACGGAGAAGGCUAUGUUAGCCGGGCGACGGUUGUCCCGGUUUAAGCAUGUAGGCUGAUUGUCCAGGCAAAUCCGGAUAAUCAAGGCUGAGGUGUGAUGACGAGGCACUACGGUGCUGAAGUAACAAAUGCCCUGCUUCCAGGAAAAGCCUCUAAGCAUCAGGUAACAUCAAAUCGUACCCCAAACCGACACAGGUGGUCAGGUAGAGAAUACCAAGGCGCUUGAGAGAACUCGGGUGAAGGAACUAGGCAAAAUGGUGCCGUAACUUCGGGAGAAGGCACGCUGGUGUGUAGGUGAAGCCCCUGCGGGUGGAGCUGAGACCAGUCGAAGAUACCAGCUGGCUGCAACUGUUUAUUAAAAACACAGCACUGUGCAAACACGAAAGUGGACGUAUACGGUGUGACGCCUGCCCGGUGCCGGAAGGUUAAUUGAUGGGGUUAUCCGUAAGGAGAAGCUCUUGAUCGAAGCCCCGGUAAACGGCGGCCGUAACUAUAACGGUCCUAAGGUAGCGAAAUUCCUUGUCGGGUAAGUUCCGACCUGCACGAAUGGCGUAAUGAUGGCCAGGCUGUCUCCACCCGAGACUCAGUGAAAUUGAACUCGCUGUGAAGAUGCAGUGUACCCGCGGCAAGACGGAAAGACCCCGUGAACCUUUACUAUAGCUUGACACUGAACAUUGAGCCUUGAUGUGUAGGAUAGGUGGGAGGCUUUGAAGCGUGGACGCCAGUCUGCGUGGAGCCAACCUUGAAAUACCACCCUUUAAUGUUUGAUGUUCUAACGUUGGCCCUUACCGGGGUUGCGGACAGUGUCUGGUGGGUAGUUUGACUGGGGCGGUCUCCUCCCAAAGCGUAACGGAGGAGCACGAAGGUUAGCUAAUCCUGGUCGGACAUCAGGAGGUUAGUGCAAUGGCAUAAGCUAGCUUGACUGCGAGCGUGACGGCGCGAGCAGGUGCGAAAGCAGGUCAUAGUGAUCCGGUGGUUCUGAAUGGAAGGGCCAUCGCUCAACGGAUAAAAGGUACUCCGGGGAUAACAGGCUGAUACCGCCCAAGAGUUCAUAUCGACGGCGGUGUUUGGCACCUCGAUGUCGGCUCAUCACAUCCUGGGGCUGAAGUAGGUCCCAAGGGUAUGGCUGUUCGCCAUUUAAAGUGGUACGCGAGCUGGGUUUAGAACGUCGUGAGACAGUUCGGUCCCUAUCUGCCGUGGGCGCUGGAGAAUUGAGGGGGGCUGCUCCUAGUACGAGAGGACCGGAGUGGACGCAUCACUGGUGUUCGGGUUGUCAUGCCAAUGGCACUGCCCGGUAGCUAAAUGCGGAAGAGAUAAGUGCUGAAAGCAUCUAAGCACGAAACUUGCCCCGAGAUGAGUUCUCCCUGAGACUUUAAGUCUCCUGAAGGAACGUUGAAGACGACGACGUUGAUAGGCCGGGUGUGUAAGCGCAGCGAUGCGUUGAGCUAACCGGUACUAAUGAACCGUGAGGCUUAACCUUACAACGCCGAAG
Molecule: ribosomal RNA, 2917 nt
Filed under: Klebsiella pneumoniae
Lineage: Bacteria; Pseudomonadati; Pseudomonadota; Gammaproteobacteria; Enterobacterales; Enterobacteriaceae
Description: 23S ribosomal RNA
Rfam family: Bacterial large subunit ribosomal RNA
Source: RNAcentral